This 490-nucleotide ribosomal RNA is filed under the name uncultured bacterium. Its description in RNAcentral is "partial 16S ribosomal RNA". It matches the Rfam family "Bacterial small subunit ribosomal RNA", at positions 30 to 507 of the family's 1533-position model. The record is from RNAcentral.
AUUGAACACUGGCGGCAGGCCUAACACAUGCAAGUCGAACGGUAACAGAAAGCAGCUUGCUGCUUUGCUGACGAGUGGCGGACGGGUGAGUAAUGUCUGGGAAACUGCCUGAUGGAGGGAGAUAACUACUGGAAACGGUAGCUAAUACCGCAUAACGUCGCAAGACCAAAGAGGGGGACCUUCGGGCCUCUUGCCAUCGGAUGUGCCCAGAUGGGAUUAGCUAGUAGGUGGGGUAACGGCUCACCUAGGCGACGAUCCCUAGCUGGUCUGAGAGGAUGACCAGCCACACUGGAACUGAGACACGGUCCAGACUCCUACGGGAGGCAGCAGUGGGGAAUAUUGCACAAUGGGCGCAAGCCUGAUGCAGCCAUGCCGCGUGUAUGAAGAAGGCCUUCGGGUUGUAAAGUACUUUCAGCGGGGAGGAAGGGAGUAAAGUUAAUACCUUUGCUCAUUGACGUUACCCGCAGAAGAAGCACCGGCUAACUCCGUG